This is a non-coding RNA of Callithrix jacchus (white-tufted-ear marmoset), 1279 nucleotides long. The record is from RefSeq and is a predicted model, not a curated record. NCBI's taxonomy places the organism in Eukaryota, Metazoa, Chordata, Mammalia, Primates, Cebidae.
AUGGGCGAGCGCAUUCGUGCUAGUGCCGCUUGCUGCGGGUUUGAGACCCAGUGGGUGGUGGGCCUAGGCCUUAUUGGCCGGGAGCCUGACCUUGAUUCCCACUGGGAGCCAGAGGAACCAGAGCUGCAGGAGGUGGAGAGGUACCCGCUUUUCCCUGGCCCUCAGCUUGAAGCAGCACCUGGCUCCCCUGCGUCCCCUUGGCGCUGGGGGUCCUGCCAGACAGCAGCCCUGGUUCCUUCUUACCCCUUGUCAGGGCCCAGCGCCAGGUGUUCAGCUCCCCUGGGACCACUGGUUCCUUCACUAAUGGCGUAUUUCAUCGCCAGUUUAGAGAGUUUGGCAUGCUCAAGGGCAGUUGUUGUUUUAGAGGUGCAGAAGUUUGUACCCACAUUGGAGCAGAAGCUGAAGCAGGAUAAAAAAUUCCUUAAGAAAGCUGGGCUUGCCUAGCUCCCGCAGCUCCAGGGCUCCGGAAACACCUCAAAACUGCUCCCUGCAGGCCACUCUCUAGCAGGAUCUUUGCUUAUGCCAGGGCAUGAAGCCUCAUCCAAAGACCCGAAACACAGCACAACUUUGAAAGCAAUAGAUUCAAAGACUCACGGGGAAAAUACACCAAGGAGAUGGAAGGGAAGAAAUGAAGGAAUCCAGGGCCUGGAAGAGAGCUUUUGCAGCCCUGGGUCAUCAGGCAGAGCUGCAGAAGUACUCCAGUGAUUGUGGGAGCACCAAAAGGACUGGCCAUGGUGGGCUGCUAAGUGAUCAGAAGCUGGCGUAAAGGCAAGGGAGCGGGUAACUGCAGCAGCAAAGUAGUGCACAGGGGGCAGGGGUUCUUUGACAGCAAUGGGAACUUCCUGGACAGAAUUUGAGUCGUGGCUUGGCUCGUGGAGAUGCCUCGUGAAACACAGCUGGGCAAAUAUUAAUAUAUAUGGAACAGCCUGGAAUUCCGUGUAUGGAUAAGCCAGCUUGGAGCAGGAAGAAGUGAUGAGGCUGGGAUGUGGGAGGAAAGAGCUGCGUGGAUAGAAUCAAACUUCCUGUAGUAGGGCUCCCAGUCUGACCUCUGUAGAUCCUCAGUACUCAACCAUUCUUACCUGGGCUCUCUGUAUGUUGAAAACCAGUCUGUGUUGCAUGUAUUGUUAUAAUUUUCUGUUGUACUUGCAAUAUACAUUUAAGCGGAAGUGAAAAGUUUGACUUCUAACCUCAUUUCCUUCUUUAUCAGUGAACACUAACAGUUCUGGGAAAACUUAGUCAAUUGGUUUUCCUUACAAGCAAAAACAAGUAAAAUGUAGCA